GCACUUUUACCUUAGCAGGCCAUUGUCACCUUAACAGUCUGAGAGGCAAAUGAAGUCUGUGCAGUAGCGAAGACCAGGAGCUGAACUGGUCAGGUAAUUGCAAAAUUGCAAGACAGCACCAUCUGAGAAAAUGAACAACAUUGGCCUUCCUGCAGUCAUUUGCUACCUUGUUCUCGAGGGCCUAUCACCCAAGGAGGUCCACAAGGACGUGGUGGUGACACCAGAGGACAGUGCAGCCUCUUACAGCGUGGUGACAAAGGAGGCUGUCGAGUGUGGCAGAGAGGCUCUGGAAGAUGACCCUAAUCGUAGAAGGCCUCUCACCACGCAGGAGAUCACUGACAAGAUCCAUGACAUGAUCCAGGAAGAGACUAUGUUGAACAUUGGAAUGUGCCAGAUUUUCAAAAAUUACUCAACGACCACAAGAUCUGCAGCAACAACUGCUCCCUACAGUAUGUGGGUGUAAGGAAACAAAACAAAGAUAGAGACACACAGUCUGAGAGUGAGUGUGCCUUGAUAGCACAGUGUGUGUGUGUGUUUUCCAGUAAAGGCUGACUCACUGACUCAGUCAUUCUAGUCAUUUUAAAGAUUAGCCCAUUUUACAAGCUGAGCAUAAACACUGUGUGCAGAAAAUGCUUUUUAGCUUUUAUGUGGCACAGGUCUGAUCAUGUCUUAGUGGAUCUGCUCUUCUUAACUUUCUACUUUCAUUUUCUGAUGCUGACACCCAUGUAAAAGCACCGAAAAGGCUGUGGAAUAUGGAAAACAAUAAAUGGAUGACAAAUCAACACAUA
Molecule: long non-coding RNA, 788 nt
Organism: Scatophagus argus
Lineage: Eukaryota; Metazoa; Chordata; Actinopteri; Scatophagidae
Exons: 2
Source: RefSeq, a predicted model, not a curated record